GACGAACGCUGGCGGCGUGCCUAAUACAUGCAAGUAGAACGCUGAAGCUUGGUGCUUGCACCGAGCGGAUGAGUUGCGAACGGGUGAGUAACGCGUAGGUAACCUGCCUGGUAGCGGGGGAUAACUAUUGGAAACGAUAGCUAAUACCGCAUAAGAGUAGAUGUUGCAUGACAUUUGCUUAAAAGGUGCAAUUGCAUCACUACCAGAUGGACCUGCGUUGUAUUAGCUAGUUGGUGAGGUAACGGCUCACCAAGGCAACGAUACAUAGCCGACCUGAGAGGGUGAACGGACAAAAGGGGACGGGACAAAGGCCAAGAACCCGAGGGGAGGAAGAAGGAGGGAAUGUGCGGAAAGGGAAGGAAGUUUGACCGAGAAAGGCGGGGGGAGUGAAAAAGGUUUUGGGAUGGAAAAGCUCUGUGUGAAGAGAAGAAGGGGGGGGAGAGGGGAAAGUCCACACGGGGACGGUAUUUUACCAAAAAGGGACGGAAAAAUACGG
RNAcentral lists this ribosomal RNA (496 nucleotides) under uncultured bacterium. Its description in RNAcentral is "partial 16S ribosomal RNA". It matches the Rfam family "Bacterial small subunit ribosomal RNA", at positions 28 to 506 of the family's 1533-position model. The record is from RNAcentral.